GUCUUCUUUUCCUGACGAGNGGCGAACGGGUGAGUAAUACAUCGGAACGUGCCCNAUCGUGGGGGAUAACGGAGCGAAAGCUUUGCUAAUACCGCAUACGAUCUACGGAUGAAAGCAGGGGACCGCAAGGCCUUGCGCGGACGGAGCGGCCGAUGGCAGAUUAGGUAGUUGGUGGGAUAAAAGCUUACCAAGCCGACGAUCUGUAGCUGGUCUGAGAGGACGACCAGCCACACUGGGACUGAGACACGGCCCAGACUCCUACGGGAGGCAGCAGUGGGGAAUUUUGGACAAUGGGCGAAAGCCUGAUCCAGCCAUGCCGCGUGCAGGAUGAAGGCCUUCGGGUUGUAAACUGCUUUUGUACGGAACGAAAAGACUCCUUCUAAUAAAGGGGGUCCAUGACGGUACCGUAAGAAUAACACCGGCUAACUACGUGCCAGCAGCCGCGGUAAUACGUAAGGUGCAACGUUAAUCGGAUUUACUGGGCGUAAGCGUGCGCAGGCGGUAUAUAAAAA
RNAcentral lists this ribosomal RNA (512 nucleotides) under Acidovorax defluvii. RNAcentral's name for it is "bacterial SSU rRNA". It matches the Rfam family "Bacterial small subunit ribosomal RNA", at positions 78 to 588 of the family's 1533-position model. Lineage: Bacteria; Pseudomonadati; Pseudomonadota; Betaproteobacteria; Burkholderiales; Comamonadaceae. The record is from RNAcentral.